CCAAUCGCGUAUCUUAAAGUUGUUGCCGUUAAAAAGCUCGUCGUUGAACCUCGGGAUCAAUGGAUCGGUCAUGCCAUCGGUAUGUACUGGUCUCAUUGGUUCUCACCUUCUAAGGAACCAUGAUGUCAUUCAGUUGAUGUUGUGGGGAAUUAGGACUGUUACCUUGAAAAAAUUAGAGUGUUUAAAGCAGGCUAACGCUUGAAUACAUUAGCAUGGAAUAAUGAAAUAGGACAUCGCAUUCUAUUUUGUUGGUUUCUAGGAUCGAUGUAAUGAUUAAUAGGGAUAGUUGGGGGCAUUAGUAUUCAAUUGUCAGAGGUGAAAUUCUUGGAUUUAUUGAAGACUAACUACUGCGAAAGCAUUUGCCAAGGAUGUUUUCAUUAAUCAAGAACGAAAGUUAGGGGAUCGAAGACGAUCAGAUACCGUCGUAGUCUUAACCAUAAACUAUGCCGACUAGGGAUCGGAUGAUGUUGAUUUUUUAAUGACUCAUUCGGCACCUUACG
RNAcentral lists this ribosomal RNA (500 nucleotides) under uncultured Glomeromycotina. RNAcentral describes it as "partial small subunit ribosomal RNA". It matches the Rfam family "Eukaryotic small subunit ribosomal RNA", at positions 591 to 1092 of the family's 1831-position model. The record is from RNAcentral. Lineage: Eukaryota; Fungi; Glomeromycota.